RNAcentral lists this long non-coding RNA (474 nucleotides) under Homo sapiens (human). RNAcentral's name for it is "HSALNT0383747". Lineage: Eukaryota; Metazoa; Chordata; Mammalia; Primates; Hominidae. The record is from RNAcentral.
UCAAAAAACCAAAACCAAAACCAAAACCAAAACCAAAAAAAAAACAAAACAAAAAACAAAAAAAAAAACCAGGUCCUUAUUGACAUUUUCCUCGCUCUUUGCUUUUAGGAAAAAGCAGCAAAUUCCAACAAGAGAGAAGUAUCACUGGAUGGCAAACGGAGAGUGGGGUCCCAGCCUCACUCUGAGGGCAGGCUGAACACCUUAGGGACCAUCAACCCCCGGUGGUGUCGUUUCCAGUGAAAACCGAACUCCGGGAUGUAGCCGGAUUGGAGAGAAGCGAGUGACGCGUGCGCCCCCUUCCUGCGGCGGAUGGAUGAACGUUUCCUCCAAACCUCUCAAGAGCCCGUGGGAUUUUACCCUUUCACCUGCCUCCGCUUCUGCUGUAUCUUGUCCCAGUUCGUUAAGUGUGAAGGUCUCAGCAGCCACACCUCGACAGCAUACCGGGAACUCUCAAUACUCCUCUACCCAUUAGCA